RNAcentral lists this ribosomal RNA (823 nucleotides) under Pichia kudriavzevii. RNAcentral describes it as "SSU rRNA". It matches the Rfam family "Eukaryotic small subunit ribosomal RNA", at positions 566 to 1443 of the family's 1831-position model. The record is from RNAcentral. Lineage: Eukaryota; Fungi; Ascomycota; Pichiomycetes; Pichiales; Pichiaceae.
GUCACAGCCGCGGUAAUUCCAGCUCCAAUAGCGUAUAUUAAAGUUGUUGCAGUUAAAAAGCUCGUAGUUGAACUUUGGGCCUGGGCGGACGGUCUACCUAUGGUAAGCACUGUUGCGGCCGGGUCUUUCCUUCUGGCUAGCCCUCGGGCGAACCAGGACGAUUACUUUGAGGAAAUUAGAGUGUUCAAAGCAGGCCUUUGCUCGGAUAUAUUAGCAUGGAAUAAUAGAAUAGGACGCAUGGUUCUAUUUUGUUGGUUUCUAGGACCAUCGUAAUGAUUAAUAGGGACGGUCGGGGGCAUCAGUAUUCAGUCGUCAGAGGUGAAAUUCUUGGAUUGACUGAAGACUAACUACUGCGAAAGCAUUUGCCAAGGACGUUUUCAUUAAUCAAGAACGAAAGUUAGGGGAUCGAAGAUGAUCAGAUACCGUCGUAGUCUUAACCAUAAACUAUGCCGACUAGGGAUCGGGUGGUGCUACUUUGCCCACUCGGCACCUUACGAGAAAUCAAAGUUUUUGGGUUCUGGGGGGAGUAUGGUCGCAAGGCUGAAACUUAAAGGAAUUGACGGAAGGGCACCACCAGGAGUGGAGCCUGCGGCUUAAUUUGACUCAACACGGGGAAACUCACCAGGUCCAGACGUAAUAAGGAUUGACAAGUUAGAGACUUCUCUUGAUCUUACGGGUGGUGGUGCAUGGCCGUUUUUAGUCCUUGGAGUGAUUUGUCUGCUUAAUUGCGAUAACGGACGAGACCUUAACCUGCUAAAUAGGGCUGCGAGCAUCUGCUCGGGUGCUCUUCUUAGAGGGACUAUGGGUAUCAAAUCCCCAGAAU